RNAcentral lists this small RNA (28 nucleotides) under Bombyx mori (domestic silkworm). RNAcentral's name for it is "ovarian small RNA-38413". The record is from RNAcentral. Lineage: Eukaryota; Metazoa; Arthropoda; Insecta; Lepidoptera; Bombycidae.
UUUGGGUGCAUCUUCUGGUUUUGUUAGA